RNAcentral lists this long non-coding RNA (10883 nucleotides) under Manihot esculenta (cassava). RNAcentral's name for it is "long non-coding RNA (MESC_LNC000838)". Lineage: Eukaryota; Viridiplantae; Streptophyta; Magnoliopsida; Malpighiales; Euphorbiaceae. The record is from RNAcentral.
GAUUAAUUGUUCAGAUAUUAAUUUUGGAGUAUAAGAGUUUAUUUAUAUCCCUCUUUCUCUAUAAAGAUUUAGAAAUGUAUCCAAUCUUCUCUCCAGCUUGUGAACUUGGGGUUAGGCCCAUUCUUUCUAGGGUUUUGAACAUUGAGUUGUGCUCUCUCGUUAGGCCAAUUGAAGCCUGAUUUUAUUUAUGAAUUUUCUUCAUUUUUUAAAGAAGGAAAUAUGUAUACAUAUUGAUGACCUCUGGAUUUCUUCACCCCGGACUGAGGCCAGGCCCAUUAGGAUAGCCCAUAAUUCGAAGGCUUCUAAAUCUCUUUUAAGAGCCAGGUCCAGCCCGCUCAGCUCAAAGACCGGACUCCAAUCAGAUUCUCCAAUCAGGCCGGCCCAGCUCAUUCGGCCCAAUGAACAGAUCCCCUCUGGGCCUAACCUUAUCCUUAUCUUCUGGCCCAGUUCGGAACCCAGAAGGAAUUCAGCCCAUUCGCUUUGUGGGACCAUCCGCAUGCGUACCUGGGGAGAAUCAGGGGUCGUUAUGCAUGGGACAGAGAUCUGAUUCCCUUGUACAUCCGUAUCAACGUAGCAGGGACAGGUGGUCCAAUGAUACACGUUCUGCUACACGUCACUAGCUGCCAAAAGGAAACAUAUAAAAGGAGAAAUACUCUCCUCUAGUUCUAAGUUUUUUUCAGUCUUACAGAACCCAUUGUAAAACCCUAUUUUCUGGAUCUCAGCUCAUCAAUUGGCGCCGUCUGUGGGAAACGAAGGAGAUCUUUUCUUCGCCGGAGUUCCACUCUCACACAUACCCACUGAGAUCCACAAUGGCUAACCACAACGAAAACAAUCUUGUCACUCCAAAUGACCUGAGCUCUGCCUAAGAGGGGCAGCAGUUCUCUUUUUUCAGUCCUACAACACCAAAUAGCCAAACACCAAUCCCUUUCAACCCCUCGCCAAGCCUGGCGGGGAAUGCUUCCGCCGCCACCUUGUCCAACCAAGACCUCCAAACCAUGGUCCUUCAACUACAGAGCACCGCCCACUGGUUGGGGCAAAUAAUGCAACAACGGGGCCUUAGCACCCCCACCAACGUACCACCGGUGGUAGAAGAACCCUAGACCAACGAACCUCAGCCUACCUUCAACCACCCCAGAACUGUCAGCCAAGAAACCGGAGACGGGAGGAGGAGAGCCGAAGAAGAGGAAGAGCCGGCAGCUCGAGUUCAUGGGAGAAGGGCGAGGGAGAUGAUAGAAAAUGAUGAAGUCGAUAGCUACUCCGCCGAAACCACCGGAAGAAUGGGGAGUGAAACAUGGGAAGAGGAGGCCUACCAGGAGAGGAAGCCCAGGCGGGAAGGGGAGAGCGUAGACCAAAAGCUGCAGAAGUUGAGGGAGCAGCUCUUGGCCGAGCUGGGAGCGAAGGGUCAGAACCAAACUCUCCUACCCACUGCUUCACCCUUCUCAAAAUGGGUGCAGCAGGAGACUAUGCCUAAGAAGUUUAUGAUGCCACCAAUGGCAGCCUAUGACGGGGCUGGGAACCCUAGGGAGCAUGUCUUGAACUACAAGACUUUCAUGGAGCUGCAGACUCUGUCAGAUGCCUUGAUGUGCAAGGUAUUCCCAACGACGCUCUCAGGUCCGGCAAGAACAUGGUUCAAUAACCUUGGGGCCGGAAGUAUUGGCAGUUUUGAAGAUCUAGCCACCCGCUUCAUCAGCAAAUUUAUUGCCGGGGUGCCUGCGGAUAGGAAGACGAGCUACCUGGAGACAAUCAGGCAGAGGAAAGACAAAUCACUCAGGGAGUAUGUCGCUCGUUUCAAUAUAGAGGCCCUGCAGAUCUCCGAGCUCGAUGAAGGAAGGGCUGUAGAAUCCAUGCAGAAGGGGACGACCUCAGCCGAGUUCUUUGGUUCACUGAGCAGGAAGCCUUCGACCUCACUGGCCGAGCUGAUGAAACGGGCCGAAAAAUAUAUAAGGCAGGACGAUGCUUUGGAGACAAGCAGGUUCGCCAGGGGAGCGACAGAUAAAGGGAAAGCACCGGAGGAGGGAAGGCCGGAGAGGCGCAAGAAAAAGCAUGGCAAGAGACCUGAACCGUACAGACAACCCUGAGAGCGCAGGGACUAAAGACCUUCCCCUCGGGCCUUAGAACAAAGGUCACUCCCCCCGUGGGUCCCGGAAACACCGACUCCCCUCAACGUUUCUAGAGCCGAAGUGCUCAUGGCCGUCCAGGACAAGGAGUUCCUCCAAUGUCCUCGGCCCAUGAAAGCAGAAGCAAACCAGAGAGAUCCUGACAAGUAUUGCCAGUACCAUCGCGCACACGGCCACGACACCAACAACUACUUCCAAUUGAUAACAGAAAUAGAAAGGCUGAUAAAGAGAGGGCAUCUGAAAAACUUCGUGAAAAGACCGGAGGGACAGAGACCUCAGCCUAAUCCGGCAGUCCCAGUGCUGAGGAGAACGGGAGCUGGGCCAGUGAAUGAUGGAUCCAGCGGGACCAUCAACAUGAUUGUUGGGGGAACAGGGGGUCGGAUGAGCCGUAGGGGAAAGAAGAGAAGUUGAGAAGGGGAAGGCAACAGCACUGAGGUCAUGCAGGUCAUCGAGCACACUCCCAUGGCCAUCACUUUCUCUCCGGAGGAUGCUCAGGGUAUUCAGAUGCCCCAUGACGAUGCCCUUGUCAUUGAGGCCGUCAUACACAACUAUCGGGUGAAGAAGAUCCUAGUGGAUGACGGGAGCAAGAUGAACCUGUUGCCUUACUGGGUUUUUCAGUAGAUGGGAAUUCCCGGAGAACAGCUGGUCCGGGACCAAGCACCGGUCAAAGGGAUCGGAGGAGUACCGGUGCCCGUGGAGGGGAAGGUGAAACUGGCCCUCACCUUGGGAGAAACACCAAGAACUCGCACCCACUAUGCGGUGUUUUUGGUGGCUAAACUCCCUCUGAGCUACAACGCAAUCCUGGGAAGACCUGCGCUAUAUGACUUUGAGGCCGUCACUAGUAUCAGAUAUCUGGCGAUGAAGUUCCCCACAGAAGUAGGGGUGGGAGUAGUUCGGGGAAGCCAGGAGGAAGCAAGAGCAGUGUACCUAGCUACGGUAGCAGAGCCGAGCUCAACAGAGAAAAGGCUGGAUUCAAAAAACAGAGGCCAGGACAGAACCGGUGGGGGAACUGGAGAUUUUUCCCUUAUCAGAAGAAGAAACAGGUAAAGUCUUCAGUCUCAACGCCGGCCUCACCAAGGAACAGAAAACCGAGGUCAUGGCUCUGAUCCAAGGUCAUGCAUCGAGCUUCGCCUAGAAGUCUUCUGACAUGCCCGGGAUUGACCCAGGGGUGAUGACGCACAAGUUAAAUGUCCUCCCCGAGGCUAGGCCAGUAAAGCAGGAAAAAAGGGUGGUAGGAAGGGAGAAGCAACAAGCCACCAGGGAGGAAGUACAGAAGUUAGAAGAGGCAGGCUUUAUUAGGGAAGUCAUGUACCCGCAGUGGUUAGCAAAUCCUGUAUUAGUCAAAAAAGCCAAUGGCAAAUAUAGGAUGUGCAUAGAUUUUACUGACUUGAAUAAGGCCUGCCCUAAAGAUUGUUAUCCCCUCCCUGAUAUUAAUAAAAUGGUCGACUCUACGGCCGGUUUCGAUUAUAUGUCUUCUUUGGAUGCUAUGUCUGGUUAUCAUCAAAUCCCAAUGGAUAGGUCGGAUGAAGAAAAGACCUCGUUCAUAACAGAAGAUGGGACUUACUGCUAUAGAGCUAUGCCUUUCGGGUUGAAAAACGCCGGAGCAACCUAUCAAAGACUGAUGAACAAGGUCUUCAAAUAUCAGAUCGGCAGAAACGUAGAAGUUUACGUGGAUGAUAUGGUGGUCAAGAGCCCAACUUUCCAACAGCACAUGGCAGAUUUGAGGGAAGUAUUCGGGGUAUUAGAUCAGUACAGAAUGAAGCUGAAUCCAGCAAAAUGUGCCUUUUUCAUCAGGGAGGAAAAUUCUUGGGGUACAUGGUGAGUGGAAGAGGCAUUGAGCCUAAUCCGGAGAAGGUAGAGGCCAUACUGAAUAUGUCAGAACCGACCUGUGUAAGGGACGUCCAGAGACUAACCGGGAAAGUAGUAGCGCUUAAUCGAUUCAUGUCAAGGUCGACAGAAAAAUGCUUACCAUUCUUCAAAAAGUUGAGGAAAGUGCCAAACUUCGAAUGGACAGAAGACUGCCGAGAAGCUUUCAAAGAGCUCAAAAGCUACCUCAGCUCCCCUCAUGUGCUCAGUAGCGCCUUGGAAGGAGAGGAACUCCUGAUAUACUUGGUAGCCUCUGAACAAGCGAUUAGUGCAGUAUUGGUAAGGGUAGAUGAAGGAGAACAAAAGCCGGUAUUUUACGUCAGUAAGGUACUUAAGGGUGCCGAGAUUAGAUACCUGAACAUUGAAAAGGUGGCGUAUGCUCUGUUGCUAGCAGUUCGAAAGUUUAGGGUCUACCUGGAAAGCCAUCAAGGUAUAGUGAUGAUGGACCAACCUCUGAAGAAGAUUCUACACAGGCCGGAAACCUCAGGCCGGAUGCUGGCUUGGUCCGUAGAGAUUAGCCCUUACUGCUUAGAAUAUCGACCUCGGACAGCUAUAAAAUCUCAAGCCCUUGCCGACUUCAUAGCAGAAUGUACAUUCAAAGAAGAGCGGGAAGAGUCUUCUUCAGAAGUGUUGGAGAAGGGAAGUGAGGGAGAGCCUUUGCAAGAGUUCAAAUGGAAGUUAUAUGUAGAUGGGGCAUCAGGCGCGGGGGGCAGUGGUGCCAGAAUAAUGCUCAAGGGGCCUGGAGAAUUCAAGGUCUGCUACGCCUUGCGCCUAGAAUUCAAGGCCUCCAAUAAUGUGGAGGAGUAUGAGGCCCUAAUAAACGAGAUGCUGGUGGCAAUGGAAGUAGGGGCAACCGAUCUCGAGGUGAAUAGUGACUCCCAGCUGGUGAUCAAUCAGGUAACUGGGGCAUAUCAGGCCAGAGACCCGACCAUGCGAAAUUACCUAACAGAAGUAAAAGCUAUAGAAGCCGAGCUCAUGAGCAGGGGUGUUGCCAUCAAAUUUCAAAGAAUACCUCGAGAAGAAAAUGAGGAAGCAGACCUGCUUAGUCGGUUGUCGAAGAAAGAAUUAGAACAGCUCCCUGACGAGGUAUACAUACAACACAUCAACACGCCUACUUUUAAUAAAACAAUCACUGUAUUGCAGAUAGAACAAAGCCAGACCUGGAUGACCCCAUACCUGGAAUAUCUGGAAAAAGGAAAGCUCCCUGAAGACAAGGAUGAAGCAAGAAAGAUAGCAGCUUGUGCUGCUAAUUACCAAGCAGUAAGGGGGACCUUGUACUGAAGGGGGAAGUCCAGCCCAUGGCUCCGGUGUGUGAGCCCGGGGGAGGCGAUAAAAGUGAUGGAAGAGAUACCCAGAGGAAUAUGCGGAGCUCACGAAGGGGCAGGAACGCUGGCUAAUAAAAUAUUCAGGCAAGGGUAUUAUUGGCCCACUGUCAAAAGAGAGGCGGAAGAGUUCGUCCGGAAAUGCGAUAUAUGCCAGAGGUUCGCCAACGCCAUCAAUAUCCCAGCCACUCCUCAAUCCAACAUAUCCAGCCCCUAGCCCUUCUCACAAUGGGGAAUAGACAUCCUGGGACCCUUUCCCAAGACCACAGGACAGAGAAAAUUCGUAGUGGUGGCUGUGGAGUACUUCUCAAAAUGGCUAGAGGCAGAGGCAAUCCCUACAAUCACAGCCCGCCAGAUGAUAGAUUUCGUAUGGGUGCACAUCAUCUGCAGAUUCGGCAUACCGAUGGUGCUCGUUUCAGACAACGGCAGGCAGUUUGACUGCAACACCUUCAAAGCAUUUACGGCCAACAUGGACAUAUGGCACAAGUUCUCCUCAGUGGCCCAUCCUCAGACCAACGGCCAAACGGAGGUCACCAACCGAGCUAUCCUCUAAGGAUUGAAGAAACGGCUGGAUGGGGCAAAGGUGAACUGGGCGGAAGAGCUCAACAGCAUUCUAUGGGCACUCCGAACUACUCCCAGAACGUCCACUAAGGAAACGCCCUUUGCACUUGCUUUUGGCACAGAGGCCGUAGUCUCCAUCGAGUUACAAGUUCCCACUCAUCGAGUUCAAUUUGCUAACAAAAGCACCAACAGUGACAAAUUGAGAAGUAACCUUGAUGCCCUCGAAGAGAUUAGAGAGGAAGCCCAAGUCCGAACUGCCGCUUAUCAACAACGAACAGCUUGCUACUACAACCAAAGGGUCAGAGAAAGAAGCCUAAAGGUGGGAGACCUAGCCCUGAGAAACCUGGAGGCUACGGGAAAGAGAGCGGCAGUAGGCAAAUUAGCACCGACCUAGGAGGGCCGCUUUAGAAUAACAAAAGUGAUCAGGGCAGGAGUAUACCGAAUUGAAAAUAUGCAGGGAAACCCUGAGCCCCAUGCCUGGAAUAUCCAACACUUGAAAAGAUACUUCCCUUGAGGUAUCGAUAAAUGCAAAAGACUUAUUGUAUUUUAAAAGCAUGGUAAUAAAACAGGCGAUGCUUAUCGUCUCGAUUCAUUAUUUAUCUCUGCUCACUUGGCACUCAUAAAAGAAACAAAAGGGAAAAAUGAAACAGGCACAAGUGCCCAAGACCUCAGUUAGGCACAAAACCAGCUGAGAUGGCGAAGCGACAGUAAGGCCAAUGAGCCUGAAUCUUGCUCAAGACCUCAGUUAGGCACAAAACCAGCUGAGAUGACGAAGCGACAGUAAGGCCACAGAGCCCGAAUCUUACAAAAGACCUCAAAGAAGGUACAAGGCCGGCGGAUCUCAAAGAUCUCCCGGAGCAAAAACGGCCGGCGGGAUCAACAAGAUCUCCCCGGAGCAAAAACGGCUGGGAUCCCGUAAGAUCUCCUGGAGCAAAAACGGCCGGCAGGAUCAACAAGAUCUCCCCGGAGCAAAAACGGCCGGGAUCCCAUAAGAUCUCCUGGAGCAAAAACGGCCGACGGGAUCAACGAGAUCUCCCUGGAGCAAAAACGGCCACGAUCCCGUAAGAUCUCCUGGAGCAAAAAUGGUCGACGGGAUCAACAAGAUUUCCUCAGAACAAAAAUGACCUGGAGCCCUGAAAUACAGCCCGUUUGAGGCUCGUCAAGAAAGCAAGAAAUUAAGCGCUGACUUCACAAAAAAGAAGGAGAAUUUCCGAACUCAUGAGCUCGUCACACAAACAGCGCAAAAGCUGUAGCACGAAAAUCCAAGUAAAUAACAAAAGUCCGAGCUCCCUGGUCAGCUGAAUGGGCGAACUCACGACAAAGGCAAAUGAUCCCACCCACAGCUCGGAUCAACUCGCAAUAAACAAACGCUUAACAAAAACAACCCUGGGAGAGGACAACGAUAACACAGCCGAACUCCCCCUCCCAGUGGGGCAUACAGCCCACACCGCACCAACUGACAAAGGAUAACCUCAAAGGAGAGCAGAUACCCGAACUCAUCACCAGACAGAGAGGCAAAAUCGUCUAAAAUGAAGCAGCGCCAUUCCAAAUGAAGUUUAGGGAUUUACCCCCUCACCACUCACGUCAUAAAUGCUAAGGAGGUAAAAGGGCAAUUCGAGGAAAAAUCCAAAGGCAUGAGUAGAUGAAACCCUAGUUUCAGCUCUUAUCAAAUUGGAACUAAGAACAAAAAGGCCAGCCCUGCUUAUCACCUUCAAAGGUACGCAAUCUGACACACUACUAUUAAACAAGGGUUGUAUGACCGAACUCAUAAUAACGAAGUAAUAAGAGAAAAAUGAGGUUGUCCUUGCAAGAAUCAUAAGAACUUGCAGGACGAGAGUCCAGCCCCAUGUUAAAAACAGAGCUCAUAGGUAAGGAUAGUCCAGCCCGGAAAGAGCUUACAGAUAAGAAUGCCUUAGCAAAAUAAAUGAGUCUAUAAGCCAAAAGUUCAGUCAAUUAGUAGAAUUCUAGUUUUGAUGAGUUUGAAAGCAAAAAGAAGAAAACAAGCAAAAUAAGUAAAAAUAAAGUUUCAUUAAAAGAAAAGUACAUUUAUAGCAUGUUACAAGUGCCUACUCCACUGAAGGAAAAACUGUCCUCAAAGGACUUACACGACCAGAGGCGCUAUUAUCUACCCUGUUCCCUUUUUAGCUCGGCGAACUCCUUAUACUCCCUUAGAGGUCCCCUACUCUCCAACCGAACUCUAUCUCGUUAUUAUAGGAGAGCUGAACAAGUUGAUCCCCAUAAGCAUCUCUCACUGUUCCAUCAUAAGCAGGCUUCCUGUCGCCCAAGUGUGAUGCACGAUACACUCGAGCAAGCCGAGAAAAAUUGACGAGGCAUUCUGAAGAGCAAUGGAACAAGUGAAUGUUGCAAAUCUACACACAUACUAUGUUGGACUAAUUUUAGCAGAUUACCCUUGCUAAUAUUACGUGUGUGAACAGCAUCUUGUAUCUCACAGUAAGCCUCAGAAACCAUGUUAUUCCAUGAGUUUGAGUCAGGAGCAGACAUCAGGGGCACCACGAGAAUCCUCUCCUCCUCCCCGGGAGAAAGAAAGACAGGAGCCGAUCUUCUGGAAGCCCAAGACUUCUUUGGAGCGCGAACCAAGGCAAGCACUUUGAGGAGAAUGGGACACUUGCCUCCGACCUACUCCGCUACACCCCCAUUAUCCACAAAGCUGAGUUCCCUAUCCUCGGCAGUCGGACCGACCUCGGAAGGGACCCCAUAGACAUUCCUCAUAGAGGCGACCUCAGCCCUACUAGCAAGGGUCCCCAUCUCAGCUAUGAAGGCCUCAUGCCUCUCUUCAGAAGCAUCGCCAAAAGACAGGGCAGGCUUCGCUGUCGUCAAACCAGAGUCCUCGCUCGGCCUUGAAGCCCGAGAGAACUUGAGAGCUUGAACAACCAGCACGGCUGAGACGGACUUGUCAAUACUUGGCUGCCUUAAAGAUUCGGCACCGCGAAAGCUCGGCUCCGGAGCUUGGGCAGGAACAAGAGAAGGAGGCCGGCUGGACGACCCGAACGAUAUAACUUCGGCCACUAGCUGGGUAAACCCCCCCCCCCGCCGAUUGUCCAACCAGGAGGGCAUUCAGGGCUACAUUCAGGCUCUCCCUGGACAACGUAAGAAUUUUAGGGGGUUCAAUCUGAUUCAUCUUCACCAAAGAAACUGCAAAAAAUCCAAAACCGGAGCAAGUCAGAACGGCUCUCAACAAGAAUCACAAAAGAAGAUCAAAAUGGACAUCUAUAAGGGACAAGGUAAUAAAACUUUCGGCUCGCCUUGACCAGCCCGAAUAAGGUACCAAACGGAUGCCUCAAGAACGUGAAACCCCCGCUCGGACAGAUAGGUUCAAAAGAAACUAUGAAGAGAAUAAAAUUAGUGGCUGACACUUGAGAAGCAAUCUCGAAAUGCUAUAAAAAUCCCAUGGAAGAAAAGAAAUAAGAGAAAGGAGUUCACACCUGCAUGAAGAUCGAUUAUACCAGAGGUAUAUGGAUCAGAAGGAAAGACCCCUCCAUCCUGGCGAAGGUCCUGAAAGGGAAGAAGGGGGCGAUAUCGUGAGAUACCCCGAGAAGGAGGUUCUUAUGCUGAACGAUGUGAUGCUAGACUCUAGGCUAGCGGCGUCAGGAUCCUUAAAGGAUAUGCAUAGAAAAGGAAGGAAGGCGUAUCUGGAAAAUAAAAGCAAGAAAGUGAAGACGAUAGUACGCACAAAGAACAGAGGAAAGCCAGAAAUGGAAAAAGACAGAGGGGACUCGAAAGUCAAAAGGACAAAAAGAUGAAAAGGCAUUACGAAGGAAGCAGUACAUAAACAGACGCGGUCAUAAUGAUUCUUGGGAUUUACCCCCUCAUCAGUCGAAGCAAUAACUGACGAGAAGGUAAAGGGGUAAUUGAUGACCGCUGGGUUUCUUCACCCCGGACUGAGGCCAGGCCCAUUAGGACAGCCCAUAAUCCGAAGGCUUCUAAAUCUCUUUUAAGAGCCAGGUCCAGCCCGCUCAGCUCAAAGACCGGACUCCAGUCAGAUUCUCCAAUCAGGCCGGCCCAGCUCAUUCGGCCCAAUGAACAGAUCCCCUCUGGACCUAGCCUUAUCCUUAUCUUCUGGCCCAGCUCGGAACCCAGAAGGAGUUCAGCCCAUUCGCUUUGUGGGACCAUCCACAUGCGUAUCUGGGGAGAAUCAGGGGCCGUUAUGCAUGGGACAGAGAUCUGAUUCCCUUGUACGUCUGUAUCAACGUAGCAGGGACAGGUGGUCCAAUGAUACACGUUCUGCUACACGUCACUAGCUGCCAAAAGUAAACAUAUAAAAGGAGAAAUACUCUCCUCUAGGUCUAAGUUUUUUCCAGUCUUACAGAACCCAUUAUAAAACCCUAUUUUCUGGAUCUCAGCUCAUCACAUAUUAAAAUAAUUUUGUUCAAAACUGAGUUUAAUGUAAAUUGAAAAAGAUUAAGGUCAAUUAAAAUGAGUGGAAUGGAGGAUAAGAAGAUUUGAAAUUUGAUGGGGAGAGUUAAGAGUUUAAAACAAGUAAUCAAAGGAAUUCCAAAGUCUAAGCAUAUGGGUUGUGGUUUUGAAAUUCAACAUAGAAAAAUUUGUUAACAUCCAAAUGCAAGAAGACAGAUUUGGAAUGGAAAUUCUCAAAAUCUUUUGGUGUCUCCAAGAAACUAAACACUUCUUAUUUCAAUAUUUGAUGUGGCAAACCAACGGUUUGAUUGCGUGUUGGAAUUCCCACUUCUCUGCACCAAACAACUAUUCUUCAACUUAAUUCCAUCCUCCUUAUUCACAUCUAAUAUUAUACUAUUUAUUUAUUUAUUAUCAAUUACUAUUUAUAUAUUCAUUUUACAAUCCUCAUAUUAAUUAUUAAUUAUAAUAAAUUUUACAUGAGAUGCAUUGAUUAUUAUUAUAAUACAAUCGUCCGUAUGAUAAAAUUUCUGGUCAGCUUAGGGCAUUGGACUGGAUUUCCUAACACAGCUCUCGCUUUCAUCAUUAGCGCAUUUAUUGCUCAAAAACCACUCCACAAUUUGUAUUUCUCUUAUUAGAUUUAGAC